This 975-nucleotide ribosomal RNA is filed under the name bacterium H_C49_72. RNAcentral describes it as "bacterial SSU rRNA". It matches the Rfam family "Bacterial small subunit ribosomal RNA", at positions 90 to 1066 of the family's 1533-position model. The record is from RNAcentral.
GACGAGCGGCGGACGGGUGAGUAAUGCUUGGGAACAUGCCUUUAGGUGGGGGACAACCAUUGGAAACGAUGGCUAAUACCGCAUAAUGUCUACGGACCAAAGGGGGCUUCGGCUCUCGCCUUUAGAUUGGCCCAAGUGGGAUUAGCUAGUUGGUGAGGUAAUGGCUCACCAAGGCGACGAUCCCUAGCUGGUUUGAGAGGAUGAUCAGCCACACUGGAACUGAGACACGGUCCAGACUCCUACGGGAGGCAGCAGUGGGGAAUAUUGCACAAUGGGCGCAAGCCUGAUGCAGCCAUGCCGCGUGUGUGAAGAAGGCCUUCGGGUUGUAAAGCACUUUCAGUUGUGAGGAAAGGUUAGUAGUUAAUACCUGCUAGCUGUGACGUUAGCAACAGAAGAAGCACCGGCUAACUCCGUGCCAGCAGCCGCGGUAAUACGGAGGGUGCGAGCGUUAAUCGGAAUUACUGGGCGUAAAGCGUACGCAGGCGGUUUGUUAAGCGAGAUGUGAAAGCCCCGGGCUCAACCUGGGAACUGCAUUUCGAACUGGCAAACUAGAGUGUGAUAGAGGGUGGUAGAAUUUCAGGUGUAGCGGUGAAAUGCGUAGAGAUCUGAAGGAAUACCGAUGGCGAAGGCAGCCACCUGGGUCAACACUGACGCUCAUGUACGAAAGCGUGGGGAGCAAACGGGAUUAGAUACCCCGGUAGUCCACGCCGUAAACGAUGUCUACUAGGAGUUCGGUUUUUCGGAACUGUCUUCCAAAGCUAACGCAUUAAGUAGACCGCCUGGGGAGUACGGCCGCAAGGUUAAAACUCAAAUGAAUUGACGGGGGCCCGCACAAGCGGUGGAGCAUGUGGUUUAAUUCGAUGCAACGCGAAGAACCUUACCUACACUUGACAUCCAGAGAACUUACUAGAGAUAGUUUGGUGCCUUCGGGAACUCUGAGACAGGUGCUGCAUGGGCUGUCGUCAGCUUCGUGUU